GUUGGUGGUGGCGGUGACAGAGACUGCAGCAUGACCAGAGUGGCUUUUCUGGCUUUGCCCGCCCAGCUGCUCCAUGCCAGGAGGAGGAGGAGACACCUAGAGCCUGCAACACCACGGCUCGCCUCGCUACAGGUGGGUGGCAGUGACGGAGACUGCAGUGCACCAGAGCGCCCCCACAUCACCCAACCAACCAGCAGAGAUCCUCCUUCCCAAGAAACAGA
This 221-nucleotide long non-coding RNA is filed under the name Homo sapiens (human). Its description in RNAcentral is "HSALNT0379666". Lineage: Eukaryota; Metazoa; Chordata; Mammalia; Primates; Hominidae. The record is from RNAcentral.